UUCCUGGUGGCUUAGAUGGUAAAGAAUCUGCCUGCAAUGCAGGAAAGCCAGGUUCGAUCCCUGGGUUGGGAA
RNAcentral lists this transfer RNA (72 nucleotides) under Bos taurus (domestic cattle). It matches the Rfam family "tRNA". Rfam says of the family: Transfer RNA (tRNA) molecules are approximately 80 nucleotides in length. Their secondary structure includes four short double-helical elements and three loops (D, anti-codon, and T loops). Further hydrogen bonds mediate the characteristic L-shaped molecular structure. tRNAs have two regions of fundamental functional importance: the anti-codon, which is responsible for specific mRNA codon recognition, and the 3' end, to which the tRNAs corresponding amino acid is attached (by aminoacyl-tRNA synthetases). tRNAs cope with the degeneracy of the genetic code in two manners: having more than one tRNA (with a specific anti-codon) for a particular amino acid; and 'wobble' base-pairing, i.e. permitting non-standard base-pairing at the 3rd anti-codon position. RNAcentral also lists the same sequence under 1 other name. The record is from Rfam by way of RNAcentral. Lineage: Eukaryota; Metazoa; Chordata; Mammalia; Artiodactyla; Bovidae.